GACGAACGCUGGCGGCGUGCUUCAUACAUGCAAGUCGAACGAGAAGCUGACUUCGGUCAGUGGAAAGUGGCGGACGGGGGCGUAAUAUGUAGGAAAUCUGCCUUUAGGAGGGGGACAACAGAGGGAAACUUCUGCUAAUACCCCAUAUGAGCGUAGCUGAAAUGCUAUUCUUGAAAACUCCGGUGCCUAAAGAUGAGCCUGCAUCUGAUUAGCUAGUUGGUAGUGUAAUGGACGACCAAGGCGACGAUCAGUAGCUGGCGUGAGGGGAUGAGCAGCCACAAUGGGACGGAGGCACGGGCCAUGCAUCUUCGGGAAGGAGCGGAAGGGAGUUUUAGGCAAAGGGCGAGAGCCUGGAAGAGCAACGCCGCGUGAACGAUUAAGCCCGUGGAAGAGUAAAGUUCUGUCAGUGGGGACGAAACUUGACGGUACCCACAGAGGAAGCACCGGCUAACUCCGUG
Molecule: ribosomal RNA, 458 nt
Filed under: uncultured bacterium
Lineage: Bacteria
Description: partial 16S ribosomal RNA
Rfam family: Bacterial small subunit ribosomal RNA
Source: RNAcentral